This 72-nucleotide transfer RNA is filed under the name Araneus ventricosus. It matches the Rfam family "tRNA". Rfam says of the family: Transfer RNA (tRNA) molecules are approximately 80 nucleotides in length. Their secondary structure includes four short double-helical elements and three loops (D, anti-codon, and T loops). Lineage: Eukaryota; Metazoa; Arthropoda; Arachnida; Araneae; Araneidae. The record is from Rfam by way of RNAcentral.
GACUCGGUGGCGCAACGGUAGCGCGUCUGACUCCAGAUCAGAAUUCUGCGUGUUCAAAUCACAUCCGGGUCA